AGUUCCAGAGGGAGGAAUGCUGCGACCAAAAGACACAACAAUCCAUUAUACUGGAAGUUAAGAUUUCCACCUGGACACUUUGGGCUUCUCCUCCCUUUCAGUCAACAGGCUAAGGACGGAAUUACAGUGUUGGCUGGGGUGAUUGACCAGGACUACCAUAAUGAAAUUAGUCUACUACUCCACAAUGGAGCUGACUGAUGAAUAAGAAAAGACUGAAAGGAAAAGGAACUGUGACCUGCCUCAUCUUUCUCCUUCCUCCUAUGUCAUCAUUUUCAGCACAAGUAAUUGGCAAAUACAGGGAAGUAACACAAAUAAAAAAGGAUAGGUAGAA
Symphalangus syndactylus (siamang) is the source of this 331-nucleotide long non-coding RNA. RefSeq lists it as uncharacterized. Lineage: Eukaryota; Metazoa; Chordata; Mammalia; Primates; Hylobatidae. The record is from RefSeq and is a predicted model, not a curated record.